UACGUAGGGGUCGAGCGUUGUCCGGAGUUACUGGGCGUAAAGCGCGUGCAGGUGGCUCAUUACGCCCGGCGUGAAAGCCCCCGGCCUAACCGGGGAGGGUCGUCGGGGACGGGUGAGCUUGAGGGUCGCAGGGGCUGGUGGAAUUCCCGGUGUAGUGGUGAAAUGCGUAGAGAUCGGGAGGAACACCCGUGGCGAAGGCGGCCAGCUGGGCGAGCCCUGACACUGAGACGCGAAGGCGUGGGGAGCGAACGGG
RNAcentral lists this ribosomal RNA (253 nucleotides) under uncultured bacterium. RNAcentral's name for it is "partial 16S ribosomal RNA". It matches the Rfam family "Bacterial small subunit ribosomal RNA", at positions 524 to 776 of the family's 1533-position model. The record is from RNAcentral.